GACGGGGGUUUCCCCCUAAAAUUUUCUAUACAAGAGGGAUUUACAUGUAUUUUUUUGAGGGAUCAGGGAUGAGUUUUUAAUAAAUGAAUGGAAUAAGGUUAAUUUGCAGUAGGUAGGUUUUCUAGUUUAAGAAAUUAAGAAAAAGUUAAUCUAGGAAUAUAAACAAAGUUUGUGCCAGCAGUUGCGGUUAGACAGACUAUGUAAUGGAGAAUUUUUUGGUUUGGAAUAAAAUGGCAGAAAGGAGGAUUUAGUUAAAGAUUUGUUGGGUGAAAUUUUAUAUUUUAAUGUGGUUUGUUUAAUGUUGUUUGAUUAUGAAAGAUUUCAAUAGAAACUAGGAUUAGAUACCCUAUUAUUGGAAAGGUAAAAUUGGAGAGCUAAAUUAGUAGAUGAAUUUUUGAAAGUUAGGAUAAUUGGCGGUUUUUUAGUCUAUUCAGAGGAACCUGUCCUGUAAUUGACAGUCCACGUUUACAAAGGACUUUGUUUUUAAAUUUACAUAUCGCCGCAGGCCGAGUAUCUUUUUAGAGGAGAAAUAUUCAAGAUUUAGAAUUAAAAUAAAUCAGGUCAAGAUGUAGUUUAUAAUAAAGUAGAGAUGGGUUACAAUAAAUUUAUUUAGGCGGACAUAGAAUUUAAAAUGAGUUUAAGGUGGAUUUGAAAGUAAUUUUAAACAUAUAUUUAAUAUGAUUAAAGCUCUAAAAUAUGCACAUAUCGCCCGUCGCUUUCGUUUAAGGUGAAAUAAGUCGUAACAGAGUAGGUGUACUGGAAAGUGUCCCUAGAAAGA
This 778-nucleotide non-coding RNA is filed under the name Trigonopterus sp. 6 AH-2016. Lineage: Eukaryota; Metazoa; Arthropoda; Insecta; Coleoptera; Curculionidae. The record is from RNAcentral.